GGACCAUAGCUCAGUGGUAGAGGAUGUGCUUUGCAUGCAGAAGGUUCCAGGUUCAGUCCCUGGCAGCUCUA
Molecule: transfer RNA, 71 nt
Filed under: Podarcis lilfordi (Lilford's wall lizard)
Lineage: Eukaryota; Metazoa; Chordata; Lepidosauria; Squamata; Lacertidae
Description: tRNA.Ala
Source: RNAcentral